RNAcentral lists this long non-coding RNA (233 nucleotides) under Ailuropoda melanoleuca (giant panda). Its description in RNAcentral is "lncRNA (ENSAMEG00000023860.1)". Lineage: Eukaryota; Metazoa; Chordata; Mammalia; Carnivora; Ursidae. The record is from RNAcentral.
AUGCAUACCCAGCAAGUCCCACUUCUGAAUGCCUUGCUGGCUUCCACGUCUCCAGGACUGCUCCCUCUGCUGGAAAGCUCGCCCCCCCCAACCCUCGAGUCCCCAAGACUCCUCCGCCAAGGGGCUUCCUGGGUGAGCAGCCUGCCCCCCGCCCCGUUCCCUGCUAUCUGUCCCCAACCCAGCACAAAGGAUGUGCUCUGCCAAAGUUGUCCCACACCCCUGUCAUUUUUGAA